RNAcentral lists this transfer RNA (72 nucleotides) under Solirubrobacterales bacterium. RNAcentral's name for it is "tRNA-Val". It matches the Rfam family "tRNA". From Rfam's summary of the family: Transfer RNA (tRNA) molecules are approximately 80 nucleotides in length. Their secondary structure includes four short double-helical elements and three loops (D, anti-codon, and T loops). Further hydrogen bonds mediate the characteristic L-shaped molecular structure. tRNAs have two regions of fundamental functional importance: the anti-codon, which is responsible for specific mRNA codon recognition, and the 3' end, to which the tRNAs corresponding amino acid is attached (by aminoacyl-tRNA synthetases). tRNAs cope with the degeneracy of the genetic code in two manners: having more than one tRNA (with a specific anti-codon) for a particular amino acid; and 'wobble' base-pairing, i.e. permitting non-standard base-pairing at the 3rd anti-codon position. RNAcentral also lists the same sequence under 4 other names. Lineage: Bacteria; Bacillati; Actinomycetota; Thermoleophilia; Solirubrobacterales. The record is from RNAcentral.
GGGCGCGUAGCUCAGUGGGAGAGCGCUCGCCUCACACGCGAGAGGUCGCAGGUUCGAAACCCGCCGCGCCCA